CAUUUUCGAAUUCUGGAAUUCUUAGUCGAGAUUUUACUUAGCUUGAUUCUACUUUUGAUUUCAAUUUUCUGCAUGUUAGAUUAUAGGGUGUAUUUCUAGGUUGAAAUUUGUGAACUAUAGGGGCUAUCAGUAUUCUGUGUGUUGUAUGCUGCUGGCCUAUUGAUAUUCUUUUGCUGUAAAUUGCUGCUGCCAAUGCCAUUGGGCAUUUUUGUUGUUAUAUCUUGUGCUACAAAAUGCCAUUGGGCAUCCCAUUUUCUAUCCCUAGUAGGUUUUAGAGGCUUGGGUACCUUCCCCCAAGUUUUCUGGCACCUAACCUUACCCGUUAUGCUGCCACAAUUUCGGCUCAAUCUGUUUGUUGCUUGAUUCAUUUACUUGCAUUGAAUGAUUGUGAAUGCUCGAUGCUUAAUUUUAAUUUUUAUCAGGUAAAAUGGCAGACGAUCAACAACGCCGACACAACCCCGCUCGCCCUACAAGUAAAAGGGCAAGAACAGACGCGUCAUCCUUUGAGCAGCAUGAUUAGCAGCCACCUUCAGAGGCACCUCUAGCACCUAGAGUAGCACCUCCACAUACCCUAGUGCAUCCUAGAGUUGCAGAUCACCCUAAAGCUCGACUGCAACCACCAGCACCACCCAGACAUAGAUUUCUAACCUUCACCAAUACUUUGCAAAUAGACAGAUUCAUAAUAGUCAGAAAUAAGACGCUGGGUACAAGGAGAUGUGUAGACUGGUAGGCAUUGAGAGAUGUCAGAUUGUUUGAUGAGGUGUCUUCCCUUUUAGAGACACUUCCAUGGCACAGAUUUUUCGACAUCAGAGAGUCCACAUACAAGGAGAUUACUUAGGAGUUUUUCAGCACUUUCUGGCUCUAGCUGCAUCUCCAGGAUUACACCACCCCAGGCACCAUCACAUUCCGACUGGCCGCUCUUUUGCCAUGUUAGUUGCUUAGUUCGAAGUAGCUUUGGGCAUUUGGACAGUUGAGGAGGCACAGUCAGAUGAGUAUAGAGAGGCUAUCACCGGAGUCCGAAAACCCGUUGGACCGUUGCACUGCCCAGUGCACGGAGCAUGGCCCGUGCACCCACCUAUGCCAGCUCUUUUUUAUACAAAUAGGUUCAUUCUUUCAUUUUACUCUUUUGGCUUUCCAUUUUUCUCCUCUUCUAUCUGAAUUUUAUGCGGUUUUCCAAGG
This 1179-nucleotide long non-coding RNA is filed under the name Ricinus communis (castor bean). RNAcentral's name for it is "long non-coding RNA (RCOM_LNC001179)". Lineage: Eukaryota; Viridiplantae; Streptophyta; Magnoliopsida; Malpighiales; Euphorbiaceae. The record is from RNAcentral.